RNAcentral lists this ribosomal RNA (1308 nucleotides) under Alkalibacillus almallahensis. RNAcentral describes it as "bacterial SSU rRNA". It matches the Rfam family "Bacterial small subunit ribosomal RNA", at positions 133 to 1428 of the family's 1533-position model. The record is from RNAcentral. Lineage: Bacteria; Bacillati; Bacillota; Bacilli; Caryophanales; Bacillaceae.
UGAGACGGGGAUAACUCCGGGAAACCGGGGCUAAUACCGGAUAACGCAUCGAACCGCAUGGUUCGAUGAUCAAAGAUGGCUUCUUGCUAUCACUCACAGAUGGGCCCGCGGCGCAUUAGUUAGUUGGUGAGGUAACGGCUCACCAAGGCGACGAUGCGUAGCCGACCUGAGAGGGUGAUCGGCCACACUGGGACUGAGACACGGCCCAGACUCCUACGGGAGGCAGCAGUAGGGAAUCAUCCGCAAUGGACGCAAGUCUGACGGUGCAACGCCGCGUGAGCGAUGAAGGUCUUCGGAUCGUAAAGCUCUGUUGUGAGGGAAGAACAAGUGCCGUUCGAAUAGGGCGGCACCUUGACGGUACCUCACCAGAAAGCCCCGGCUAACUACGUGCCAGCAGCCGCGGUAAUACGUAGGGGGCAAGCGUUGUCCGGAAUUAUUGGGCGUAAAGCGCGCGCAGGCGGUUCCUUAAGUCUGAUGUGAAAGGCCACAGCUCAACUGUGGAGGGCCAUUGGAAACUGGGGAACUUGAGGACAGAAGAGGAGAGCGGAAUUCCACGUGUAGCGGUGAAAUGCGUAGAUAUGUGGAGGAACACCAGUGGCGAAGGCGGCUCUCUGGUCUGUAACUGACGCUGAGGCGCGAAAGCAUGGGUAGCGAACAGGAUUAGAUACCCUGGUAGUCCAUGCCGUAAACGUUGAGUGCUAGGUGUUAGGGGGUCCAACCCUUAGUGCUGCAGUUAACGCAAUAAGCACUCCGCCUGGGGAGUACGGCCGCAAGGCUGAAACUCAAAGGAAUUGACGGGGGCCUGCACAAGCGGUGGAGCAUGUGGUUUAAUUCGACGCAACGCGAAGAACCUUACCAGGUCUUGACAUCUUCGGACAGCCCAAGAGAUUGGGUCUUCCCUUCGGGGACCGAAUGACAGGUGGUGCAUGGUUGUCGUCAGCUCGUGUCGUGAGAUGUUGGGUUAAGUCCCGUAACGAGCGCAACCCCUGAUCUUAGUUGCCAGCAUUCAGUUGGGCACUCUAGGAUGACUGCCGGUGACAAACCGGAGGAAGGCGGGGAUGACGUCAAAUCAUCAUGCCCCUUAUGACCUGGGCUACACACGUGCUACAAUGGAUGGUACAAAGGGAAGCCAAACCGCGAGGUCGAGCUAAUCCCAUAAAGCCAUUCUCAGUUCGGAUUGUAGGCUGCAACUCGCCUGCAUGAAGCCGGAAUCGCUAGUAAUCGCGGAUCAGAAUGCCGCGGUGAAUACGUUCCCAGGCCUUGUACACACCGCCCGUCACACCACGAGAGUUGGCAACACCCGAAGUC